Molecule: ribosomal RNA, 497 nt
Filed under: uncultured bacterium
Lineage: Bacteria
Description: partial 16S ribosomal RNA
Rfam family: Bacterial small subunit ribosomal RNA
Source: RNAcentral
GACGAACGCUGGCGGCGUGCCUAAUACAUGCAAGUUGAGCGCUGAAGGUUGGUACUUGUACCAACUGGAUGAGCAGCGAACGGGUGAGUAACGCGUGGGGAAUCUGCCUUUGAGCGGGGGACAACAUUUGGAAACGAAUGCUAAUACCGCAUAAAAACUUUAAACACAAGUUUUAAGUUUGAAAGAUGCAAUUGCAUCACUCAAAGAUGAUCCCGCGUUGUAUUAGCUAGUUGGUGAGGUAAAGGCUGACCAAGGCGAUGAUACAUAGCCGACCUGAGAGGGUGAUCGGCCACAUUGGGACUGAGACACGGCCCAAACGCCUACGGGAGGCAGCAGUAGGGAAUCUUCGGCAAUGGACGAAAGUCUGACCGAGCAACGCCGCGUGAGUGAAGAAGGUUUUCGGAUCGUAAAACUCUGUUGGUAGGGAAGAACGUUGGUGAGAGUGGAAAGCUCAUCAAGUGACGGUAACUACCCAGAAAGGGACGGCUAACUACGUG